GAGGGUAUAGCUCAGUGGUAGAGUGCAUUCUUAGCAUGCACGAGGUCCUGGGUUCAAUCCUCAGUGCCUCCA
Molecule: transfer RNA, 72 nt
Filed under: Camelus bactrianus (Bactrian camel)
Lineage: Eukaryota; Metazoa; Chordata; Mammalia; Artiodactyla; Camelidae
Also listed under: 2 other names
Rfam family: tRNA
About the family: Transfer RNA (tRNA) molecules are approximately 80 nucleotides in length. Their secondary structure includes four short double-helical elements and three loops (D, anti-codon, and T loops). Further hydrogen bonds mediate the characteristic L-shaped molecular structure. tRNAs have two regions of fundamental functional importance: the anti-codon, which is responsible for specific mRNA codon recognition, and the 3' end, to which the tRNAs corresponding amino acid is attached (by aminoacyl-tRNA synthetases). tRNAs cope with the degeneracy of the genetic code in two manners: having more than one tRNA (with a specific anti-codon) for a particular amino acid; and 'wobble' base-pairing, i.e. permitting non-standard base-pairing at the 3rd anti-codon position.
Source: Rfam by way of RNAcentral